RNAcentral lists this transfer RNA (87 nucleotides) under Clostridiales bacterium. Its description in RNAcentral is "tRNA-Leu". It matches the Rfam family "tRNA". From Rfam's summary of the family: Transfer RNA (tRNA) molecules are approximately 80 nucleotides in length. Their secondary structure includes four short double-helical elements and three loops (D, anti-codon, and T loops). Further hydrogen bonds mediate the characteristic L-shaped molecular structure. tRNAs have two regions of fundamental functional importance: the anti-codon, which is responsible for specific mRNA codon recognition, and the 3' end, to which the tRNAs corresponding amino acid is attached (by aminoacyl-tRNA synthetases). tRNAs cope with the degeneracy of the genetic code in two manners: having more than one tRNA (with a specific anti-codon) for a particular amino acid; and 'wobble' base-pairing, i.e. permitting non-standard base-pairing at the 3rd anti-codon position. Lineage: Bacteria; Bacillati; Bacillota; Clostridia; Eubacteriales. The record is from RNAcentral.
GCCGGUGUGUUGGAAUUGGCAGACGAGGAGGACUCAAAAUCCUUUGCCAGCGAUGGCGUGUGGGUUCAAGUCCCACCACCGGCACCA